RNAcentral lists this long non-coding RNA (838 nucleotides) under Mus caroli (Ryukyu mouse). RNAcentral's name for it is "lncRNA (MGP_CAROLIEiJ_G0013756.1)". The stretch from base 329 to 505 matches the Rfam family "HOXA11 antisense RNA 1 conserved region 6". Lineage: Eukaryota; Metazoa; Chordata; Mammalia; Rodentia; Muridae. The record is from RNAcentral.
GAGGUGGCUCAGCCGCGGGGGACGCCAGGCCGCCUCCCCUGACUACAAGGCAGCUUCUCUCAUAAUUAACUCGACUUCCCGGGAUGCCAGGGAGAAGGGGUACCCGCAGAAAGGAGGCCCAAGGUUGAUUUCAGCCCACCAGGAUCUGGGGAAGACCCAGCUAGGGAUAAGAGCACACCAAAAGGCCAAGUCCGAGUUCCAUUCCUAGAAGAGGCGGCUGCAGACAAGGCUAUGACAUUGGCCCUGGACAUUGGUUUCCCAGGAGCUGCUUUUUCUCAAGAACUCCACAGCACGGGGCUGUCUCCAGAAAACGCUCUUCAACGUUUAUUUCUUUUAAUCGUCGCCCGGAGCCCUAAGGCGGCUAAUGCAAGAGGCCAAAAAUGUUUGGAGGAAGAAAAACAAAGGCAGGAAGUGGCCGCGGCCUGACGGUGCGUGUGUGUCUGUAAAAGAGGGAGGGAGCCGGUUCAACCUCCCCUCGUUUUCCCGAACUUCAAGGUCUAGGCAGACCCCCUUAGGGCCUUGCCAAGGCUCCCCCCACACUCCCCCCCCCCCCGGCGGCGCAACGUUUGGAGGUGGCCAACGAUUUAAGCCUCGGUCGGGCUGAAAGGAGAUUUGAUCGGCAGAACAAACCAACCCUUUUCGGAGGUUUCUUUUGAUUUGGUCCUAAAGGGUAUAUACUAGUGCCCACAGCGGCUGGGGGUGGCUGCUGUUUUCCUCCCGCCGGGCUAAAAGUACCAAGAAGGGAGGGAGGGAGAGAGAUUCAGGCACCUUGCGCUGGCUGCACUCUCCUUCUGAGAUAGAAUAUCAGAAUAAAGUGUAUUCAGGUGCCUCUGCUGAA